AACAAACCAAAUAAUAAAUAUUUUUUUUUCUCUCUCAAUCUCAACUGUCAGAUUGUCUGAAAUUGUUUUGAUAGUAAAAUGUUGAUUGUUGCUGGUAAACAUAGUUGAGUUGGAAAAAGUUUUUUAUGAAUAAUACAUACAAUGAAACCUGGUGGAAGACCUCUUCAUGAAAUUUGGACCCAAGGCUUCAAAAGAACCUCCAAAUGUGAUGGGAAAUUCACAGCGAAUUGUCAAUAUUGCUUUAAAGAGUUCUCAAAUACUUCAAGUGAAAGAUUAAUAAACCACAGAGCAAACUGUCAAGCAAUUGAUACACUGGCAUCAUCAUCAAGUGACAAUAAUAACAAAAUCACAUCAACAAAUUCAAAUUCUACAAUAAUUACUGAAGAUUAAGUGUCAAUUUUAAGUUAUGAUUCAGAUGCAUCCGGUGCUAGUUCACCAUCCAUCUCUUCUAGACCAUCUAAAAAAAGAAAACUAUCCAACUUAAGAUCUUUAAAUCAAUACUUUUUGUCUUUGACAGACAGUGACAAAAAAAAGAUUGAUAGAGCUGUCUUGAACUUCUUUGUCAGCUGAAAUAGCAACUGAGUGUUUGAAUAAAGCUUAUGAUCAACUUGAUGAAUCAAGAUUUCUUUUAUCAGCA
Long non-coding RNA from Aphidius gifuensis, 637 nucleotides. RefSeq lists it as uncharacterized. NCBI's taxonomy places the organism in Eukaryota, Metazoa, Arthropoda, Insecta, Hymenoptera, Braconidae. The record is from RefSeq and is a predicted model, not a curated record. The transcript is spliced from 3 exons.